UUGGAGGGCAAGUCUGGUGCCAGCAGCCGCGGUAAUUCCAGCUCCAAUAGCGUAUAUUAAAGUUGUUGCAGUUAAAAAGCUCGUAGUUGAACUUCGGGGUUUACUUAUUGGUCAGGCUUAAUUGUCUGUACUGGUGAGAUGAAUCUCUACCUUCUGAGGAACUUUCAUGUCAUUUAUUUGGUGUGAUUGGAAAUCAGGACUGUUACUUUGAAAAAAUUAGAGUGUUUAAAGCAGGCUCACGCUUGAAUACAUUAGCAUGGAAUAAUGAAAUAGGACGUUUGAUUCUAUUUUGUUGGUUUCUAGGAUCGACGUAAUGAUUAAUAGGGAUAGUUGGGGGCAUUAGUAUUCAAUUGUCAGAGGUGAAAUUCUUGGAUUUAUUGAAGACUAACUACUGCGAAAGCAUUUGCCAAGGAUGUUUUCAUUAAUCAAGAACGAAAGUUAGGGGAUCGAAGACGAUCAGAUACCGUCGUAGUCUUAACCAUAAACUAUGCCGACUAGGGAUCGGACGAAGUUAAUUUUAUAAUGACGCGUUCGGCGCCUUACGGGAAAC
Molecule: ribosomal RNA, 550 nt
Filed under: uncultured Glomeromycotina
Lineage: Eukaryota; Fungi; Glomeromycota
Description: SSU rRNA
Rfam family: Eukaryotic small subunit ribosomal RNA
Source: RNAcentral